AGAGUUUGAUCCUGUUUGAUCCUGGCUCAGAUUGAACGCUGGCGGCAGGCCUAACACAUGCAAGUCGAGCGGUAACAGGAAGUAGCUUGCUACUUCGCUGACGAGCGGCGGACGGGUGAGUAAUGCCUGGGAAUAUGCCUUGAUGUGGGGGAUAACUAUUGGAAACGAUAGCUAAUACCGCAUAAUGCCUACGGGCCAAAGAGGGGGAUCUUCGGACCUCUCGCGUCAAGAUUAGCCCAGGUGGGAUUAGCUAGUUGGUGGGGUAAAGGCUCACCAAGGCGACGAUCCCUAGCUGGUCUGAGAGGAUGAUCAGCCACACUGGAACUGAGACACGGUCCAGACUCCUACGGGAGGCAGCAGUGGGGAAUAUUGCACAAUGGGGGAAACCCUGAUGCAGCCAUGCCGCGUGUAUGAAGAAGGCCUUCGGGUUGUAAAGUACUUUCAGCAGUGAGGAAGGUGGUAGUGUUAAUAGCACUAUCAUUUGACGUUAGCUGCAGAAGAAGCACCGGCUAACUCCGUGCCAGCAGCCGCGGUAAUAC
RNAcentral lists this ribosomal RNA (539 nucleotides) under Vibrio sp. RNAcentral describes it as "bacterial SSU rRNA". It matches the Rfam family "Bacterial small subunit ribosomal RNA", at positions 1 to 526 of the family's 1533-position model. Lineage: Bacteria; Pseudomonadati; Pseudomonadota; Gammaproteobacteria; Vibrionales; Vibrionaceae. The record is from RNAcentral.